This is a long non-coding RNA of Lucilia cuprina (Australian sheep blowfly), 254 nucleotides long. RefSeq lists it as uncharacterized. The record is from RefSeq and is a predicted model, not a curated record. NCBI's taxonomy places the organism in Eukaryota, Metazoa, Arthropoda, Insecta, Diptera, Calliphoridae. The transcript is spliced from 2 exons.
UGGCUAUAGAAGCAAACUCUGAUAAUAGCCCUAUAAAAAUCAUGGGUGCUGAAGCUGCAAAAUAUAGAUGUGAUGUUGCAUAUCAGAAUUGUAUGGAUGAAGUAGCUGUAACAUUUGGAGCCUAGUAAGUGAAAAAAUAUAUCCAGGUAAAACGAAACGAGAUUUUCUGGUGCAAAAAUGACGAUUUGCAUAUAUAAAUUGAAGGGAAAAGAAUAAAUUAUAGAUUUUAGACGAUAUUAAUAAUAAAAAGUAAA